This 904-nucleotide ribosomal RNA is filed under the name Curvularia coicis. RNAcentral's name for it is "LSU rRNA". It matches the Rfam family "Eukaryotic large subunit ribosomal RNA", at positions 40 to 962 of the family's 3401-position model. Lineage: Eukaryota; Fungi; Ascomycota; Dothideomycetes; Pleosporales; Pleosporaceae. The record is from RNAcentral.
AUAUCAAUAAGCGGAGGAAAAGAAACCAACAGGGAUUGCCUUAGUAACGGCGAGUGAAGCGGCAACAGCUCAAAUUUGAAAUCUGGCUCUUUUAGGGUCCGAGUUGUAAUUUGCAGAGGGCGCUUUGGCUUUGGCAGCGGUCCAAGUUCCUUGGAACAGGACGUCACAGAGGGUGAGAAUCCCGUACGUGGUCGCUAGCUAUUGCCGUGUAAAGCCCCUUCGACGAGUCGAGUUGUUUGGGAAUGCAGCUCUAAAUGGGAGGUAAAUUUCUUCUAAAGCUAAAUAUUGGCCAGAGACCGAUAGCGCACAAGUAGAGUGAUCGAAAGAUGAAAAGCACUUUGGAAAGAGAGUCAAACAGCACGUGAAAUUGUUGAAAGGGAAGCGCUUGCAGCCAGACUUGCUUGCAGUUGCUCAUCCGGGCUUUUGCCCGGUGCACUCUUCUGCAGGCAGGCCAGCAUCAGUUUGGGCGGUGGGAUAAAGGUCUCUGACACGUUCCUUCCUUCGGGUUGGCCAUAUAGGGGAGACGUCAUACCACCAGCCUGGACUGAGGUCCGCGCAUCUGCUAGGAUGCUGGCGUAAUGGCUGUAAGCGGCCCGUCUUGAAACACGGACCAAGGAGUCUAACAUCUAUGCGAGUGUUUGGGUGUCAAGCCCGAGCGCGUAAUGAAAGUGAACGGAGGUGGGAACCCGCAAGGGCGCACCAUCGACCGAUCCUGAAGUUUACGGAAGGAUUUGAGUAAGAGCAUGGCUGUUGGGACCCGAAAGAUGGUGAACUAUGCUUGAAUAGGGUGAAGCCAGAGGAAACUCUGGUGGAGGCUCGCAGCGGUUCUGACGUGCAAAUCGAUCGUCAAAUUUGGGCAUAGGGGCGAAAGACUAAUCGAACUAUCUAGUAGCUGGUUCCUGCC